Molecule: ribosomal RNA, 468 nt
Filed under: uncultured bacterium
Lineage: Bacteria
Description: partial 16S ribosomal RNA
Rfam family: Bacterial small subunit ribosomal RNA
Source: RNAcentral
GACGAACGCUGGCGGCGUGCUUAACACAUGCCAGUCGAACGGAAAGGCCCUGCUUUUGUGGGGUGCUCGAGUGGCGAACGGGUGAGUAACACGUGAGUAACCUGCCCUUGACUUUGGGAUAACUUCAGGAAACUGGGGCUAAUACCGGAUAGGAGCUCCUGCUGCAUGGUGGGGGUUGGAAAGUUUCGGCGGUUGGGGAUGGACUCGCGGCUUAUCAGCUUGUUGGUGGGGUAGUGACUUACCAAGGCUUUGACGGGUAGCCGGCCUGAGAGGGUGACCGGCCACAUUGGGACUGAGGUACGGCCCAGACUCCUACGGGAGGCAGCAGUGGGGAAUAUUGCACAAUGGGCGGAAGCCUGAUGCAGCAACGCCGCGUGCGGGAUGACGGCGUUCGGGUGGUAGACCGCUUUCGCCUGUGACGAAGCGUGAGUGACGGUAAUGGGUAAAGAAGCACCGGCUAACUACGUG